RNAcentral lists this ribosomal RNA (500 nucleotides) under uncultured bacterium. RNAcentral describes it as "partial 16S ribosomal RNA". It matches the Rfam family "Bacterial small subunit ribosomal RNA", at positions 30 to 523 of the family's 1533-position model. The record is from RNAcentral.
AUUGAACGCUGGCGGCAUGCCUUACACAUGCAAGUCGAACGGGGUUGAGGAGCUUGCUCUUCAACUUAGUGGCGAACGGGUGAGUAACAUAUCGGAACGUACCUUUCAGUGGGGGAUAACGCAGCGAAAGUUGCGCUAAUACCGCAUAUUCUGUGAGCAGGAAAGCAGGGGAUCGCAAGACCGUGCGCUGAUUGAGCGUCGGAUAUCAGAUUAGCUAGUUGGGGGGGUAAAGGCCCACCAAGGCGACGAUCUGUAGCGGGUCUGAGAGGAUGAUCCGCCACACUGGGACUGAGACACGGCCCAGGCUCCUACGGGAGGCAGCAGUGGGGAAUUUUGGACAAUGGGCGCAAGCCUGAUCCAGCCAUGCCGCGUGAGUGAAGAAGGCCUCCGGGUUGUAAAGCUCUUUCGCGAGGGAAGAAAACGCACUCGUUAAUACCGGGUGUGGAUGACGGUACCUUGAUAAGAAGCACCGGCUAACUACGUGCCAGCAGCCGCGGUAA